UAGGGAAUCUUCCGCAAUGGGCGAAAGCCUGACGGAGCAACGCCGCGUGAGUGAUGAAGGUCUUCGGAUCGUAAAACUCUGUUAUCAGGGAAGAACAAAUGUGUAAGUAACUAUGCACGUCUUGACGGUACCUAAUCAGAAAGCCACGGCUAACUACGUGCCAGCAGCCGCGGUAAUACGUAGGUGGCAAGCGUUAUCCGGAAUUAUUGGGCGUAAAGCGCGCGUAGGCGGUUUUUUAAGUCUGAUGUGAAAGCCCACGGCUCAACCGUGGAGGGUCAUUGGAAACUGGAAAACUUGAGUGCAGAAGAGGAAAGUGGAAUUCCAUGUGUAGCGGUGAAAUGCGCAGAGAUAUGGAGGAACACCGGUGGCGAAGGCGACUUUCUGGUCUAUAACUGACGCUGAUGUGCGAAAGCGGGGGGAUCAAACAGG
Molecule: ribosomal RNA, 429 nt
Filed under: Actinomycetes bacterium
Lineage: Bacteria; Bacillati; Actinomycetota; Actinomycetes
Description: Actinobacteria bacterium partial 16S ribosomal RNA
Rfam family: Bacterial small subunit ribosomal RNA
Source: RNAcentral